RNAcentral lists this ribosomal RNA (834 nucleotides) under uncultured bacterium. RNAcentral's name for it is "bacterial SSU rRNA". It matches the Rfam family "Bacterial small subunit ribosomal RNA", at positions 31 to 913 of the family's 1533-position model. The record is from RNAcentral.
GUACGCUGGCGGCACGCCUAAUACAUGCAAGUCGAACGAAGUAGCAAUACUUAGUGGCAGACGGGUGAGUAACAUGUGGGUAUCUUCCCUUUGGUGAGGAAUAACACGAGGAAACUUGUGCUAAUACCUCAUAAGUCUUUACAGAGAAAGCUUUAUGCGCCAUUGGAUGAGCCUGCACUUGAUUAGUUUGUUGGUGGGGUAAUGGCCUACCAAGACAAUGAUCAAUAGCUGAUUUGAGAGGAUGAUCAGCCACAUUGGGACUGAGACACGGCCCAAACUCCUACGGGAGGCAGCAGUAGGGAAUCUUGCACAAUGGAGGAAACUCUGAUGCAGCGAUGCCGCGUGAGUGAAGAAGGCCUUUGGGUUGUAAAGCUCUUUCGUCGGGGAAGAAAAUGACUGUACCCGAAUAAGAAGGUCCGGCUAACUUCGUGCCAGCAGCCGCGGUAAUACGAAGGGACCUAGCGUAGUUCGGAAUUACUGGGCUUAAAGAGUUCGUAGGUGGUUAAAAAAGUUGAUGGUGAAAUCCCAGAGCUUAACUCUGGAACUGCCAUCAAAACUUUUUAGCUAGAGUAUGAUAGAGGAAAGCAGAAUUUCUAGUGUAGAGGUGAAAUUCGUAGAUAUUAGAAAGAAUACCAAUUGCGAAGGCAGCUUUCUGGAUCAUUACUGACGCUGAGGAACGAAAGCAUGGGUAGCGAAGAGGAUUAGAUACCCUCGUAGUCCAUGCCGUAAACGAUGUGUGUUAGACGUUGGAAAUUUAUUUUCAGUGUCGCAGUGAAAACAAUAAACACACCGCCUGGGGAGUACGACCGCAAGGUUAAAACUCAAAUGAAUUGA